GUGUGUGUAUAUGCGUGUUGUAUGUGUAUAUGUGUAUAUAUAUGUACACAUACACACACACGCAACACACAUAUAUACAUGC
Molecule: microRNA precursor, 82 nt
Filed under: Pan troglodytes (chimpanzee)
Lineage: Eukaryota; Metazoa; Chordata; Mammalia; Primates; Hominidae
Description: miRNA
Source: RNAcentral